This is a small nuclear RNA of Chlorocebus sabaeus (green monkey), 106 nucleotides long. Lineage: Eukaryota; Metazoa; Chordata; Mammalia; Primates; Cercopithecidae. The record is from Ensembl.
CUAUUCUAAAUUCAAAAGCUUUACCCAAACUGGAAUGAAACAGAGAAGAUUAGCAUGGCUCCUAUGCAAAGAUGACACACAAAUUUGUGAAGCAUUUCAUAAUUUU